CGGUUAAGUUAGAAAGGGCGCACGGUGGAUGCCUUGGCACUAGGAGCCGAUGAAGGACGGGACGAACACCGAUAUGCUUCGGGGAGCUGUAAGCAAGCUUUGAUCCGGAGAUUUCCGAAUGGGGAAACCCACCACUCGUAAUGGAGUGGUAUCCAUAUCUGAAUACAUAGGAUAUGAGAAGGCAGACCCGGGGAACUGAAACAUCUAAGUACCCGGAGGAAGAGAAAGCAAAUGCGAUUCCCUGAGUAGCGGCGAGCGAAACGGGAUCAGCCCAAACCAAGAGGCUUGCCUCUUGGGGUUGUAGGACACUCUGUACGGAGUUACAAAGGAACGAGGUAGAUGAAGAGGUCUGGAAAGGCCCGCCAUAGGAGGUAACAGCCCUGUAGUCAAAACUUCGUUCUCUCCUGAGUGGAUCCUGAGUACGGCGGAACACGUGAAAUUCCGUCGGAAUCCGGGAGGACCAUCUCCCAAGGCUAAAUACUCCCUAGUGACCGAUAGUGAACCAGUACCGUGAGGGAAAGGUGAAAAGCACCCCGGAAGGGGAGUGAAAGAGAUCCUGAAACCGUGUGCCUACAAGUAGUCAGAGCCCGUUAACGGGUGAUGGCGUGCCUUUUGUAGAAUGAACCGGCGAGUUACGAUCCCGUGCAAGGUUAAGCAGAAGAUGCGGAGCCGCAGCGAAAGCGAGUCUGAAUAGGGCGAAUUGAGUACGUGGUCGUAGACCCGAAACCAGGUGAUCUACCCAUGUCCAGGGUGAAGUUCAGGUAACACUGAAUGGAGGCCCGAACCCACGCACGUUGAAAAGUGCGGGGAUGAGGUGUGGGUAGGGGUGAAAUGCCAAUCGAACCUGGAGAUAGCUGGUUCUCUCCGAAAUAGCUUUAGGGCUAGCCUCAAGGUAAGAGUCUCGGAGGUAGAGCACUGAUUGGACUAGGGGCCCCUACCGGGUUACCGAAUUCAGUCAAACUCCGAAUGCCGAUGACUUAUCCUUGGGAGUCAGACUGCGAGUGAUAAGAUCCGUAGUCGAAAGGGAAACAGCCCAGACCGCCAGCUAAGGUCCCAAAGUAUACGUUAAGUGGAAAAGGAUGUGGAGUUGCUUAGACAACCAGGAUGUUGGCUUAGAAGCAGCCACCAUUUAAAGAGUGCGUAAUAGCUCACUGGUCGAGUGACUCUGCGCCGAAAAUGUACCGGGGCUAAACGUAUCACCGAAGCUGCGGACUGUUCUUCGAACAGUGGUAGGAGAGCGUUCUAAGGGCUGUGAAGCAAGACCGGAAGGACUUGUGGAGCGCUUAGAAGUGAGAAUGCCGGUAUGAGUAGCGAAAGAGGGGUGAGAAUCCCCUCCACCGAAUGCCUAAGGUUUCCUGAGGAAGGCUCGUCCGCUCAGGGUUAGUCGGGACCUAAGCUGAGGCCGAAAGGCGUAGGCGAUGGAUAACAGGUUGAUAUUCCUGUACCACCUCCUCACCAUUUGAGCAAUGGGGGGACGCAGGAGGAUAGGGUAAGCGCGGUAUUGGAUAUCCGCGUCCAAGCAGUUAGGCUGGGAAAUAGGCAAAUCCGUUUCCCGUGAAGGCUGAGCUGUGAUGGCGAGCGAAUUAUAGUAGCGAAGUUCCUGAUUCCACACUGCCAAGAAAAGCCUCUAGCGAGGUGAGAGGUGCCCGUACCGCAAACCGACACAGGUAGGCGAGGAGAGAAUCCUAAGGUGAUCGAGAGAACUCUCGUUAAGGAACUCGGCAAAAUGACCCCGUAACUUCGGGAGAAGGGGUGCUCUGUUAGGGUGCAAGCCCGAGAGAGCCGCAGUGAAUAGGCCCAGGCGACUGUUUAGCAAAAACACAGGUCUCUGCGAAGCCGUAAGGCGAAGUAUAGGGGCUGACGCCUGCCCGGUGCUGGAAGGUUAAGAGGAGCGCUUAGCGUAAGCGAAGGUGCGAAUUGAAGCCCCAGUAAACGGCGGCCGUAACUAUAACGGUCCUAAGGUAGCGAAAUUCCUUGUCGGGUAAGUUCCGACCCGCACGAAAGGCGCAACGAUCUGGGCACUGUCUCAACGAGAGACUCGGUGAAAUUAUAGUACCUGUGAAGAUGCAGGUUACCCGCGACAGGACGGAAAGACCCCGUGGAGCUUUACUGCAGCCUGAUAUUGAAUGUUGGUACAGCUUGUACAGGAUAGGUAGGAGCCUUGGAAACCGGAGCGCCAGUUUCGGUGGAGGCAUCGGUGGGAUACUACCCUGGCUGUAUUGACCUUCUAACCCGCCGCCCUUAUCGGGCGGGGAGACAGUGUCAGGUGGGCAGUUUGACUGGGGCGGUCGCCUCCUAAAAGGUAACGGAGGCGCCCAAAGGUUCCCUCAGAAUGGUUGGAAAUCAUUCGCAGAGUGUAAAGGCACAAGGGAGCUUGACUGCGAGACCUACAAGUCGAGCAGGGACGAAAGUCGGGCUUAGUGAUCCGGUGGUUCCGCAUGGAAGGGCCAUCGCUCAACGGAUAAAAGCUACCCCGGGGAUAACAGGCUUAUCUCCCCCAAGAGUCCACAUCGACGGGGAGGUUUGGCACCUCGAUGUCGGCUCAUCGCAUCCUGGGGCUGUAGUCGGUCCCAAGGGUUGGGCUGUUCGCCCAUUAAAGCGGUACGCGAGCUGGGUUCAGAACGUCGUGAGACAGUUCGGUCCCUAUCCGUCGCGGGCGCAGGAAAUUUGAGAGGAGCUGUCCUUAGUACGAGAGGACCGGGAUGGACGCACCGCUGGUGUACCAGUUGUUCUGCCAAGGGCAUCGCUGGGUAGCUAUGUGCGGACGGGAUAAGUGCUGAAAGCAUCUAAGCAUGAAGCCCCCCUCAAGAUGAGAUUUCCCAUUCCGCAAGGAAGUAAGAUCCCUGAAAGAUGAUCAGGUUGAUAGGUCUGAGGUGGAAGUGUGGCGACACAUGGAGCUGACAGAUACUAAUCGAUCGAGGACUUAACCAAUUU
This 2934-nucleotide ribosomal RNA is filed under the name Bacillus amyloliquefaciens. Its description in RNAcentral is "bacterial LSU rRNA". It matches the Rfam family "Bacterial large subunit ribosomal RNA". The record is from RNAcentral. Lineage: Bacteria; Bacillati; Bacillota; Bacilli; Caryophanales; Bacillaceae.